UUAAUACCUUCUUUAAUGGGUAUACUUGUCAAAAACCUUUCUAAAUUCUCAUAAUAAUGGCAGACAAAGCCUGUCAGUGCAUUUAAUUCUCCGCCCUCGGUAGACGUGUGGCUGCAAAGGGAAUGUGGAUUUUCAGAUAAUGGAAGCCCUGUGACAGAAAGGGAGUGGACCGAACGUCCAAAUUGGUGGCCAUAUUUAAAAUUAAUUUCUCUCGGUGUCAAGAGCUUCAAUUUGCACCGAUCAUAAUUCCAUUCUGAACCGACUCUGGACUUUGGAAAAUCAUAGAAGUAGUUGCUGCCCAAGACCUUAGAAGUAUUAGCUGGAAUUAUAGAAGACGUUGUUGAAGAUACCUUGGAGGAUGUUUUACAGACCGCUCAGCCAGAGGAUGGUGUUCUUGAAGAUAGUGCAGGACCGUCCGAACCUUAGGAUAGGUUUUAAUUACUCCCCUUAUGUGUAGAACUGUUCGGUCCACCUUAUGUUUUGUAGGACCGUUCGGUAUACCUUUUGUACUUAGACCGAUCGAUAUUAUUAUGUGAAGCGUUCAGUCGUUUUGUGUACAU
Long non-coding RNA from Vigna radiata var. radiata (mung bean), 560 nucleotides. RefSeq lists it as uncharacterized. The transcript is spliced from 3 exons. NCBI's taxonomy places the organism in Eukaryota, Viridiplantae, Streptophyta, Magnoliopsida, Fabales, Fabaceae. The record is from RefSeq and is a predicted model, not a curated record.